GGGGUCAUGGUAUAACCAGGUAGUACGGCAGGCUCCAGACCUGCUAGUCGGGGUUCAAAUCCUCGUGGCCCCA
Molecule: transfer RNA, 73 nt
Filed under: Candidatus Aenigmatarchaeota archaeon
Lineage: Archaea; Nanobdellati; Candidatus Aenigmatarchaeota
Description: tRNA-Trp
Rfam family: tRNA
About the family: Transfer RNA (tRNA) molecules are approximately 80 nucleotides in length. Their secondary structure includes four short double-helical elements and three loops (D, anti-codon, and T loops).
Source: RNAcentral